RNAcentral lists this ribosomal RNA (253 nucleotides) under uncultured bacterium. RNAcentral's name for it is "partial 16S ribosomal RNA". It matches the Rfam family "Bacterial small subunit ribosomal RNA", at positions 524 to 776 of the family's 1533-position model. The record is from RNAcentral.
UACGUAGGGUGCAAGCGUUAAUCGGAAUUACUGGGCGUAAAGCGUGCGCAGGCGGUGAUGUAAGACAGAUGUGAAAUCCCCGGGCUCAACCUGGGAACUGCAUUUGUGACUGCAUCGCUGGAGUGCGGCAGAGGGGGAUGGAAUUCCCGGUGUAGCGGUGAAAUGCGCAGAUAUCGGGAAGAACACCUAUGGCGAAGGCAGCUCUCUGGGACGGUACUGACGCUCAUGCACGAAAGCGUGGGGAGCAAACAGG